AUGAGGCCACUAAGAGAUAUUGCUGCGGAAGUUGGAGGGGGCAAUCCGACCCAAAAACAAAGCCUGCAGGCUGUCGAAGGGCUCUGGAACGAAUGGGAGAUCCAUUGCCUCAUACUUGCAAGCUUUGGUCUACAAGUAUUCCUCUUCUUCACAGCAGGCAUGCGGAGGCACAGCGUGUCCCGCAUCCUCAACUCCCUUAUAUGGCUGGCCUACUUAUCAGCUGACUUUGUGGCCAUUUUUAUUCUUGGACAUCUCGCGGUCCAUGCAAGCAGCUCACACCAUCUUCUUAUCUUCUGGGCACCGUUCCUACUCCUCCACCUGGGAGGGCAGGACACAAUCACUGCCUUCUCCAUGCAAGACAACGAGCUCUGGCGGCGCCACCUACUAGGAUUGGUCACCCAAGCAUUAACAGCCUGCUAUGUCAUCUCCAUAUCAUCUUGGCAAGACAGCCGAUUACUAGCUGCCACGGUGCUCAUGUUCUUGUCUGGGGUUUUCAAGUACAUUGGGCGUACCCUUUGCCUUUUCGCAUCUAGCCCAGAUUUCCUCGGAUUUAAUAGCGCGCUUGAUUUUAAGGAUUAUGUACGCGGUGGUAGUUCGGGGAGGGAAUCUUCUGAGGAUAUACUAAAGCAAAGAGUACAUGAUAUGAUGCUUAAUGACGACAAUGUGAAGCUGCCGCCCCCUCCCACCUAUAUCUCAGAUAUACUGCUGGAUAGCCCACUCAAUGAUAGGGAUACUAUUGAAGGUGCAGAUAUCAUACCAGAGUUGCUCAAUGUGCUCAAGUCUAGUGCAGACCGCUCCAGGGCUUACGUUUAUGUCAGCGCACUGCUUGUUCGUGAGUAUGAACUCGUCUACACCAAGUUCAGGCUUCAUUCUUUGUGGAUGGACUGUUCCAGAAUAAUGUUCCGAGAUCCAUCUGAUGUUGGAAAAGUGCUAAUAAGCACGGUAGUUUCUCUCAUUUUAUCAUUUCUCGUGCUCUUCCCACUUAUUUCGGCCUUGAUAACAUUGGAGCUCUUCAUGGUCGUCGCCAAGGCCCAACUCUACAACCAGACAGAUGUCACAGUCUCCUACAUAUUACUCAUAGGGGCCAUACUCCUCGAGUUGGCAUCUCUCUUCAUGUCCAUUCUUUCCUACUUCGCAUCGAGUGAUGCACCUAAAUCUUGUACACCACCUCGUGUAGUCCUGCGUGCAGCCAACUAUAUUCACCCUGCAGGCCGACAUAGAAAACAGUGGUCCAAAAUGCUUGCACAAUAUAGCAUGAUGACUGACAAGCAUAAGACAUUUUCAAGAAUCGCCAUAGGUAAUGAUCUCGAGGAGCUUGUCCUUGAUAAGUUGUUAGACUUGGGAACAGGGGAGCAAGGAGGCUGGAACUUUGCUAGUUUUCGUGGACAACUAGCGCUUCAGAGGUGGACUGGUAUGCGCACGAUCAUUGACAAUGCUGACCUGCCAACAAGUGUGCUAAUUUGGCACAUUGCAACAGAGAUAUGCUACUCCGAAGAAGAAAGCAUCACUGGUCCUCAUCAAACUGAAAAGAUAAGGGUGAGCAGAGAGCUAUCAAACUAUAUGAUGUACCUUGUCUUUACGUGCGGUGUGAUGCUUACAAGAAGCUCCAAGCACGUACUUACCAAAACUCACACUGAAUUCAAGAAACUUUUUGGAGGAAAUCCUAUUCUAGUUGUUUUAGAAGCUACCAGCAUACUGCAUGAAGUUAUCAGAGAAGGGCAACAAUCAGCUGGUACGGACAAUAUUGGCAGCCAUCCGGUAAAUCAAGUGCAACUUCUGAAAAACAAUAUGAAGGCUCUUGAUUCUCGGGUGUACCCUCGUGCAUUUACAAUGUAUACUGAGUUGAAUGGCAUGCCUCGAGACGACCGUUGGGACCUCAUCACAGAGGUAUGGUUGGAGAUGCUCUUCUACAUCGCGCCUCGCUGCGGGGGUGCUUUCCAUGCUCAUCAUCUCAGUACUGGCGGUGAGUUCGUGACGCAUGUCCUCCAACUCAUGCAUUUACUAGGCCCUUUUCUACCACUGCCAGAUGCUUAG
Molecule: ribosomal RNA, 2034 nt
Filed under: Triticum aestivum (bread wheat)
Lineage: Eukaryota; Viridiplantae; Streptophyta; Magnoliopsida; Poales; Poaceae
Description: partial small subunit ribosomal RNA
Source: RNAcentral